RNAcentral lists this ribosomal RNA (309 nucleotides) under Microstomum environmental sample. Its description in RNAcentral is "SSU rRNA". It matches the Rfam family "Eukaryotic small subunit ribosomal RNA", at positions 595 to 906 of the family's 1831-position model. The record is from RNAcentral. Lineage: Eukaryota; Metazoa; Platyhelminthes; Dolichomicrostomida; Microstomidae.
UAGCGUAUAUUAAAGUUGUUGCAGUUAAAAAGCUCGUAGUUGGAUCUGAGGACUAGAGAUAAUGGUGCGAUAACUUCGUAACUGUUAUUUCUGCCUAAAAAGACGGUGCUUGGCUUUGGUGCUCUUAACUGAGUGCCUCUGCUGCCCGUCAAGUUUACUUUGAAAAAAUUAGAGUGCUCAAAGCAGGCGCUUUGCCUGAAUAGUGGUGCAUGGAAUAAUGGAAUAAGAUCUUCGGAUCUAUUUUGUUGGUUUUCGGAAGCCGAGAUAAUGAUUAAGAGAGACAGACGGGGGCAUUCGUAUUGUGGUGUU